UGUCACGUAAGUGACGCGGUAGAGGAGCGUUCUGUAAGCCUGUGAAGGUGAGUUGAGAAGCUUGCUGGAGGUAUCAGAAGUGCGAAUGCUGACAUGAGUAACGACAAUGGGUGUGAAAAACACCCACGCCGAAAGACCAAGGGUUCCUGCGCAACGUUAAUCGACGCAGGGUUAGUCGGUUCCUAAGGCGAGGCUGAAAAGCGUAGUCGAUGGGAAACAGGUUAAUAUUCCUGUACUUCUGGUUACUGCGAUGGAGGGACGGAGAAGGCUAGGCCAGCUUGGCGUUGGUUGUCCAAGUUUAAGGUGGUAGGCUGAAAUCUUAGGUAAAUCCGGGGUUUCAAGGCCGAGAGCUGAUGACGAGUCGUCUUUUAG
This 372-nucleotide ribosomal RNA is filed under the name Pseudomonas aeruginosa. Its description in RNAcentral is "partial 23S ribosomal RNA". It matches the Rfam family "Bacterial large subunit ribosomal RNA", at positions 1207 to 1584 of the family's 2925-position model. Lineage: Bacteria; Pseudomonadati; Pseudomonadota; Gammaproteobacteria; Pseudomonadales; Pseudomonadaceae. The record is from RNAcentral.